Molecule: ribosomal RNA, 468 nt
Filed under: uncultured bacterium
Lineage: Bacteria
Description: partial 16S ribosomal RNA
Rfam family: Bacterial small subunit ribosomal RNA
Source: RNAcentral
GACGAACGCUGGCGGCGUGCUUAACACAUGCAAGUCGAACGGAAAGGCCCUGCUUUUGUGGGGUGCUCGAGUGGCGAACGGGUGAGUAACACGUGAGUAACCUGCCCUUGACUUUGGGAUAACUUCAGGAAACUGGGGCUAAUACCGGAUAGGAGCUCCUGCUGCAUGGUGGGGGUUGGAAAGUUUCGGCGGUUGGGGAUGGACUCGCGGCUUAUCAGCUUGUUGGUGGGGUAGUGGCUUACCAAGGCUUUGACGGGUAGCCGGCCUGAGAGGGUGACCGGCCACAUUGGGACUGCGAUACGGCCCAGACGCCUACCGGAGGCAGCAGUGGGGAAUAUUGCAGAAUGGGCGGAAGCCUGAUGCAGCAACGCCGCGUGCGGGAUGACGGCCUUCGGGUUGUAAACCGCUUUCGCCUGUGACGAAGCGUGAGUGACGGUAAUGGGUAAAGAAGCACCGGCUAACUACGUG